Molecule: ribosomal RNA, 274 nt
Filed under: uncultured bacterium
Lineage: Bacteria
Description: partial 16S ribosomal RNA
Rfam family: Bacterial small subunit ribosomal RNA
Source: RNAcentral
AUACGGAGGGUGCAAGCGUUAAUCGGAAUUACUGGGCGUAAAGCGUGCGUAGGUGGAUUGUUAAGUCAGAUGUGAAAGCCCUGGGCUCAACCUGGGAAUUGCAUUUGAUACUGGCAGUCUAGAGUAUGGUAGAGGGUAGUGGAAUUCCUGGUGUAGCAGUGAAAUGCGUAGAUAUCAGGAGGAACAUCAGUGGCGAAGGCGACUACCUGGACUAAUACUGACACUGAGGCACGAAAGCGUGGGGAGCAAACGGGAUUAGAAACCCCAGUAGUCC